Phycodurus eques (leafy seadragon) is the source of this 6344-nucleotide long non-coding RNA. RefSeq lists it as uncharacterized. Lineage: Eukaryota; Metazoa; Chordata; Actinopteri; Syngnathiformes; Syngnathidae. The transcript has 3 exons. The record is from RefSeq and is a predicted model, not a curated record.
GUGGAAAAGGUGAAGGGAUGUGAUUACUUUCUGGUGGCACUGUAUAUACUGCCUCACUGUUCACAAUGUCAUAUGAAAAGCAUAUAGUAUUUCUGCCAACAAGAAUAGCAAGCAGUUCUCACAUUUGAUCCUGGGCUGGUCCCUUUCCAUGUAAAGUGUUCCCAUUCUCUCUUUUCUUGUGUGGUUUCUUUUUAGUCAAGUCAAAUUGAUUUAUAUAGCGCUAAUUUACAACAAAAAUUAAGUCAUGGCACUAUCCCUCAUGGCAUUUUCCAUAUGGAUCUAGUCCAGGACCGUGCUCCUCAUGCAUUGACGGAAAACAACUGAACCCCACAUGAGCAAGCACUACAGCAAGGAAAAACUCUCCAUCGAAGAAAGAAACCUGUGUGAGGCUACUAUAUGCCUCGAGUGCUAGUAAAUUGAGAGCUUUUGCCUUUCUGCUCAGCUCCUUCUUUACCACGACAGACAGAUACAGUCCGCGUCAUUGCAGAGGCUGUACCUGUCUGCCUGUCGAUGUCCCGCUCCAUUCUUCCCUCACUCGUGAAUAAGACCCCAAGAUACUUGAAUUCCUCCACUUUGGGAAGGGUCUCUUCCUCGACCUGGAGAGGACACUCCAACCUUUUAUGACUGAGCGACCAUGGCCUCAGAUUUGGAGGUGCUGAUUUUCAUCCCAGCGCUUCACACUUGACUGCAAAAACCGCUCAGGAAGAGUUGAAGUUUGUGGCUUGAUGAAGCCAUCAGAACCACAUUAUCUGAAAAAGCAGAGACGUAAUACGGGCAUCACUAAACCAGACCCCUCACCGCCUCAGCUGCACUUAGAAAUUCUGUCCAUUAAGGUAAUGAACAGAAUUGGUGACAAAGGGUUGCCUUGGUGGAGUCAAACGCUCACUGGAAACGAAUCCAACUUACUGCGGGGAAUGCAGACCAAACUCUGACACCGGUGGUGUACGGACCGAACAGCCCAUAUUAAAUGGGACAGUACCUCAUACUCCCGGAGCACAAGUUAAUUUAAUCGUGGCAGCCAAAAUCGAUAUCACGAUUAGAAUUUGAUUAAUUGUGCAGCCCUGGUUAUAGUUUUGGAAGAAAAAUAUUUUUUUCAUAGUUGUGCUCUGCAAUAUUACAAUAUAUAUCACAGCAGUAUAGAAACUUUCCUACUGUACAAUAUAGCCUUCUGUCUUUUUUUGUUAUUUUGAUGUGUGGGGUUAGCUCUGUUACUACACGAACAUCUGAUAUCUAGGGCAUCUGAAGUCACUCACUCUUUGUCAGAUAAAACCCAACGAACUCAAACUCUCGGAGCUCACGUACCAACUCCAACUACAAUCAACAUUUUGUUACGUCUUCUUUUCACCUCACUUUCCAGUCAUGACUUUUCGAUUUAAGCUUAAUACACCUAUUGCACUAAUCAAAGCAAAGCAAAUUUAUUUAUACAGGGCAUUUCAUACACAAGGUAACUCAAUGUGCUUUACAUGAUUAAAAGCAUUUAAAAACAAAGAGCUUAUAAACAGCUUAUACAUAUUUAAACAACAUGGGGGGAAAAAAGUAUAAUUAAAACAGUGUACAGUGCAAACAUGAGAAAAAAGCAUGACAAAAAAGAAGCGUAUUUAACCUGGACUUAAAAACAUUCACACUUGGGGCUGACGCCACUUGUUUUGGCAACUUAUAUAUUUGUUUUCAGCAUAUAAUAGCUAAAUGUUCCUUCACCACGUUUUCUUUGGACUCUGUGGUCCACUAUUUGACCUGAGUCUGCCGAUCUCGGAGCCCUACUGGGUUUAUAUUCCAUUAUCAUUUCUUUCACGUAUUCAGGACCUAAACCAUUUAGUGAUUGAUAGACAAGUAGCAGAACUUUAAAAUCUAUUCUAAAGCUGACUUGAAGCCAGUGUAAAGACUUUAGAAUUGGAGUAAUAUGCUCCGACCUAUUUGUUCUGGUCAGAACCCGAGCUGCAGCAUUCGGAAUGAGCUGCAGCUGUUUAAUCCUCUUUUGGGGGAGUUUUAGAAGACCAUUAUAAAAGUCAAGACUACUUGAGAUAAAAGCAUGGAUGAAGUCCUCCUGGAGCCUCAUGUACAAAGACUUGCGUGGAUUUACUCCUAAAACGUGGCGUACGCUCAAAUCUAGAGAACGUCGUACGCACAAAAAUAUCCAGAUGUAUGAAUUUGUGCGUACGCAUGAAUGCAAGCACAGGGGGCUGAGUGUCAUUACCCCACAAAGUAAAUACCAUGUAUUUUUAUAACUCACAACAAAUGUGUUCAUACAGUAACCUACAGUCAGCCCAAUGAGAUUCAGGUUCAUGCGUAAAUGUUGUAUGUAUGGUAUUUGUAAUAAAGCUUUUGAAUUCAAAUAGAAGCACAUCAAAGAGGAUAUCAAAAACUGUGACUCCUGUUUGAUUACUCAAUUUACUAUUUUAAUACACAGUAGAGGACUGCAGUUUUUUGGUCAAGUGUAUCAAAUUCUGACAUGGUAAUAGAGUUUUUCCUGGGUGGCAUCAGAUGUAGUAUCUUUUUAUGAUUUUGCUGAUUUCUGCUGAUAUUUAACCUGAUGGAUUGUAUUUUUUUUCACUAAAAUAACAGGCAAAUUCAUUGGAUUUAUCAGCUGUUAGGAGUUCUGGAGCUAUCUGAUUCGGGGUGAUCGAGCCCUGACUCUUGGUUAAAAUUACAAAGACUUUGUCUGUAGAGGUCAUAGUCAAUUUGGAGUUUAGAUUUUCUCCACUUACAUUCUGCUUUCCUCCACUUUGAUUUAGAGGUCUUUACCAUCAAUGCUCCUCCACGGUGUUCUAGGUCAGCUCGAGAUUGUCAUAGUUUUAAUCGGAGCGACAGCAUUCAUGACAUUUGAGAUUUUCCAGGUGAAAUUAUCCAAAAGUUCAUCAACUGUCUCAGCAUUCACAGUUUGGGGCACAGCUAUGGUCUCCAUAAACUUAGUGGCGGUACUCUCAUUUAUGUACCUUUUCUUAAUAGACAUUGAGGUUGUCUGAAUUUCUGGAAUAAUCUGUAAUUCAAAGAAUACACAAAAAUGGUCAGAAAUAGCCAUAUCCUUAAUGUCAAUUGAUAGAAUUUCAACAUCCUUAAGGCCUUUUUAUACUCCCACGCUCGCGUGGCCGACAACGCCUGUAUUACAUCACGUGACCGACGAUUUGGCUCGCGCGGCCCCUCUACGGCGCUUGACGCGCUCACGGCAAAAAUUGUUGCUGCACAUAGAAUGCCGACAUCAUCUCUCGUGAUUGGUAUGUUUUAGUCACAUGCUGUGAUGAUGUAAUCAGCGUUCCAUAUAGCACCAACGUCGCCGCCUUCUCGAUCGAUUUUGCAGCAUAAUUAAACGUAUCAUCUGGUCAUCUAGGUCCAUUUGUUCUAGCAGACUCUGUUCCACGGUCGCCAUUGUUGUUGCUUUGUUUCUUGUUAUGGAAAGGAAAGUAAAAACGGCUCCCGGAAAUGGCCACAAAAUGCAGAGGAAACUCCACCCUGUGGCGUCCUAGCCAAUACCAGCCGUAGCGACACCCCCUACUUGGAGGAGAACUGCAGCACACGUUCAAAACAGCGCGCUGAGGUUGUGCUCGAGUAUAAAGGCAAACUGCGUGCGGGAUAGCCGCAUUGAAGUCAGCUCGUUCGCCGUCCGCGCGAGUAUAAAGAAGCCUUUUGAGAUGACCAGGUCUAAGAUGUGACCUUGAGUGUGGGUUGGACUCUUAACUCAUUUAGUGCCAAGGACGUAUUACUACGUUUUCAUAAACCCAUCCGUUUAGUGCCACGGACGUAUUCAAUCGACACCAGAGGGCAGCAGUAGCUUUGAUCACAAUUUUGCCAGCACGUCAGAGGAAUACUAUAUCCCUUUGACUAUGUUACUAUGACUAUGACUCUGACGGUGGAGCGUUGCGGGGGCAUGAUUGAGAGAGAGAGAGAGACACGGUGAGCCAGUUAGAGCGAAAAACAAUGGAUAAAUACAGACGGUUUACUCUAAAACAGAGUUUUGCUAACGUCAAAAAGGAUUAUGUACCAUCAUUCUUUUCCCAAAAAAGAAAGCUAUGACGCUAUGACAACGAACGCUGUGCAAUGCUGGUCACGUCGAGCAUUCGAAUGCCCACGGUGAGAUCGCGACCAUAUCCCGAUCCACUUCCCCCGAAACAUGGACUGCCAUCGGACAUCCGGACUCAGAUUGCAAUGAGCCUGAUCCGGGUUAUCAUCUGGGAGUAGCAGGGCGUCCUCCAUAAACCCGCAGAAAGUCACCGACGAGUUGGUCCAACCAGCUCCCACACCUGUUGGCAAGAAAGGAAGUGCAUCAAGCAGUGGUGGGGCUGGUCGUCUGCUGACUGGGAGUCCCGAAAAGGCCCACAUGCACAGACACACGCAUACACACAUGCGGGCGGACACAUACGCACACACCUGUGCAUACUUGAAAGUUCAUGCAUCAUCAAUUUGAAAAUGCAUGUGUUAGACUUGUAAAUAAACUGUUACUUUGCAAUCAAAAUACCCUUUUUUGUGUGUGUUUUAUAUAGUAGGAAAACAUUGUUUAGAUAUUUGAGCUAUCAUAAAAGUAAAAAAAUUAGCCAUCACUGUGAAAGUUCUGCUUGAAAUGCAUCCUUUCACAAAAAGCUUUCUGUUUUUUUUCUUGGAUUCCUUGGUAAUCUGCUGGUGUUGCGUCCUCCCUUUUAGAUGUUGUUCCAUAUCUUUGGGUUUGCUACUACUAAAUUCCAGGGAGAACUGCUGGAUGAUCCAUGACCGUUUCCACAGUCCACAUCCGUCCACUUUGUUGAGCUAAUUGGCUGUCCGUUUGCACACUUCACUUCGGUAGAGUGGUUUAAUUCCCCGACUGUCCAUUUACAUCCACAUACAUUUCAAGACGGUGGAUUUUUGUUUCCAGGAUUGACAUCCUCUACAGCAGUCCGUUAUAGUCCUCAGUGGAAAAGGGAGGCCUCUUGAUUGCUGGUCUUGUUGCUAAUAGCAGGCUCAUGCUAAUUAGCAGGCCACGCUCACAUAAUGGUGAGACGGUAUCAGAAAAUAUUGGAAUAUGGCAACAACUGACUAGCUACAAAAAAACUAGUCCCACAGGUUCCUGGAGUCGCUGCUUCUCAUUUUUUAGAAGAAAAACAAGCUUAUCAGCAAGAAAAAAUGCAAACGGAGGCAAAGCAAGCAGAGCGAGCAAAAAAGCGUCUGCACUGUAUGAGAGCGAGAGAGAGAGAAUCUAACACUUCAAUUACUGUAAUUUCUCCUGUAUGUGACACACUCCAUUAUAAUGCGCACCCCCAAAGUUCACCCCAAAAAUAAAAAAAAGCCUUCUGCUCUUAUACAAUACACACCCAUGAUUUUCUAUCCAUUCAUGUUUAUAUUCUAUAAAAGUUAGCGGUUUUGAUAUGUAUUUAUACCCAACUAUAAUUAGUUAUAUUAAUUAAUACUGAGACCUGUUUGCACUUUAACAAUGUUUUUAAUACUGUGAUCCACCCUAGUGUUUAGUUUUGACAAUGCCACUUGAUGAGGCAUUUUUGCCUCCCACAUGAACAAUGUCGUCACCGUCUAAUCAUGGUGGCUUGCUGUCAGAAGAUUUCGCAUCAUGCCUAUCACCAUUGUAUUGUUUUUAAAAUGCUGUUUUAUCUCAGUUAGUCCCCUUAACGCCUCAAUAGUUGGAGUAAUGUGAAUGGUUAUUAGACCUUCUGUGUUUAUCCCCCCUCUGCUGCAUCUUGUUGUCUUAAAUUGUUUUUAUGUUGCACCAGGAUUGAGAAAACAUUACCUCUGUAGUUUUCACUACGAUGUUCAAGACGGCUCAUGUGACAAUUAGACUUGACACCAAUCUGAUCGGCUUGAUCACCCCCUCCAAGGACUCUAAAAAGGGUGGGUACUCUGAAAUGCUGUUUGGUGCAUCGGCACAAACAACAGCCAGGACCCGUCCCCCCGGCUUGAUCAUCAAUUAGCAUUUUAUGCUCAUUGGCUGAUCAGCUUUAAUGUCAUAAUUCGCCGAUCCAAUCAAUGAUGUCAUUGAUCUGCUCCGCAAGACAUUUACUCCGCGUCGCCAUGUACAGUAUAUUUGAAUCCAGAAGGUAGUUUAUUUUUAGCCUUGUUGCGUGUCUUUUGAUGUACUACUGUAAAUAUCUGACAGCCAGUAAAGUUAUUUUUAAAAAAAGUCGGCGGUGUGUGUUGUCUGUCUGAGACAGACAACACGUAAUGCCUUGAUCAAACUACAAGACAAAUUUGGUCGCAGGUCCGAUGACACGACCAAAGUGCACGUGUGGACACCCUUAUGCUUGAACAUGGUGUCCGUUAUGGACAAUCCGUGAUGAGCACAGAAGUCCAAUAACAGAACACCGCUCGGGUUCUGAUCAGGGUGGGGGGGGCCGUUCCUCCCAAUCACGCCCUUGCAGGUCUCACUGUCA